This 460-nucleotide ribosomal RNA is filed under the name uncultured bacterium. RNAcentral's name for it is "partial 16S ribosomal RNA". It matches the Rfam family "Bacterial small subunit ribosomal RNA", at positions 338 to 795 of the family's 1533-position model. The record is from RNAcentral.
CCUACGGGCGGCAGCAGUGAGGAAUAUUGGUCAAUGGACGAGAGUCUGAACCAGCCAAGUAGCGUGAAGGAUGACUGCCCUAUGGGUUGUAAACUUCUUUUAUAUGGGAAUAAAAUGUUCCACGUGUGGGAUUUUGUAUGUACCAUAUGAAUAAGGAUCGGCUAACUCCGUGCCAGCAGCCGCGGUAAUACGGAGGAUCCGAGCGUUAUCCGGAUUUAUUGGGUUUAAAGGGAGCGUAGGUGGAUGGUUAAGUCAGUUGUGAAAGUUUGCGGCUCAACCGUAAAAUUGCAGUUGAAACUGGCAGUCUUGAGUACAGUAGAGGUGGGCGGAAUUCGUGGUGUAGCGGUGAAAUGCUUAGAUAUCACGAAGAACUCCGAUUGCGAAGGCAGUUCACUGGACUGCAACUGACACUGAGGCUCGAAAGUGUGGGUAUCAAACAGGAUUAGAUACCCCUGUAGUC